Molecule: long non-coding RNA, 469 nt
Filed under: Physcomitrium patens
Lineage: Eukaryota; Viridiplantae; Streptophyta; Bryopsida; Funariales; Funariaceae
Description: long non-coding RNA (PPAT_LNC000666)
Source: RNAcentral
GAGGCUACCUAAUAUCCAUUUAGAUUAUCUUAAAUUUUUCUCAAUUAGUAAGUGCAAUUGAUUUCAUCUAUCUUAUAUUUGUUCCUAACUAAGAUAUUAAGAAGUAUGCAAAUUUUGAGUUAAUAUCAAUGAUUUGAUCAUUAGUUGUUGAAGUUCUAAUUUAUUGUAGGAUUUGAUUUAGGAUUUGGUUUAGGAUUUAUCUAUGGUUUGGUUAGGCCUUAGGAUUUGGUCUAGGAUUUGGUUAGAAUUAGGAUUUUUUUGGAAUUUGGUUUAAAACUUGAUUAAGAGUUGAUUAGGGUAUUUUUAGAAUUUAGGAUUUAUUUAAGAUUUUAUUAGGAUUUAAUAUAGAAUUUGAUUAAGAUUCAAUUAGGAUUUUAAUUAGGAUUUGACUUAAGAUUUAAUUAAAUUUUAAUUAUGAUUUUAAUUAGAAUUAUAUUAGAAUUUUUAUUUUUAGAAUUUAAAAGGAUUC